RNAcentral lists this non-coding RNA (65 nucleotides) under unclassified sequences. RNAcentral describes it as "DUF3800-IX RNA". It matches the Rfam family "DUF3800-IX RNA". Rfam says of the family: Actinobacteria, Firmicutes (1 example), Nitrospirae, Proteobacteria, Verrucomicrobia (1 example). Nearby to DUF3800 The record is from Rfam by way of RNAcentral.
GCCCCUCGACCGAAAUGUUGCCUGAAUGGUAUGCGUGCCCGUAAGGGAUAGGGAGAGGGGAGUUA